AGCUCCAAUAGCGUAUAUUAAAGUUGCUGCAGUUAAAAAGCUCGUAGUUGGAUCUCGGGUUUAGGCCGGCGGUUCACCUCAUUGGUGACGACUGCCUGUCCUGACCUACCUGCCGGUUUUCCCCUGGUGCUCUUCGCUGAGUGUCUGGGGUGGCUGGAACGUUUACUUUGAAAAAAUUAGAGUGUUCAAAGCAGGCCUGUCUAGCCUGAAUAAUAGUGCAUGGAAUAAUGGAAGAGGACCUCGGUUCUAUUUUGUUGGUUUUCGGAACUUGAGGUAAUGAUUAAGAGGGACUGACGGGGGCAUUCGUAUUACGGUGUUAGAGGUGAAAUUCUUGGAUCGUCGUAAGACGAACUACUGCGAAAGCAUUUGCCAAGAAUGUUUUCA
This 384-nucleotide ribosomal RNA is filed under the name uncultured eukaryote. RNAcentral's name for it is "SSU rRNA". It matches the Rfam family "Eukaryotic small subunit ribosomal RNA", at positions 587 to 972 of the family's 1831-position model. The record is from RNAcentral.